UACGUAGGGACCGAGCGUUGUCCGGAAUCAUUGGGCGUAAAGAGCGUGUAGGCGGCCACUUAAGUCCUGCGUGAAAUCUUGCGGCUCAACCGCAAGCGGUCGUGGGAAACUGGGUGGCUAGAGUGCGGGAGAGGAGAGUGGAAUUCCUGGUGUAGCGGUGGAAUGCGCAGAUAUCAGGAAGAACACCCGUGGCGAAGGCGGCUCGCUGGGACGGUACUGACGCUGAGGAGCGAAAGCAUGGGUAGCGAACAGG
RNAcentral lists this ribosomal RNA (253 nucleotides) under uncultured bacterium. Its description in RNAcentral is "partial 16S ribosomal RNA". It matches the Rfam family "Bacterial small subunit ribosomal RNA", at positions 524 to 776 of the family's 1533-position model. The record is from RNAcentral.